UGCUUCCCAGGAAGCAAUAUUAAUUUUUAAAAAAGAAAGAAAGAAACAGGCCUGUUAUAAUUUGUUAAGCCUGCAGGGAGCAAGUUAGGAAUCAGCCCUGUAGGGAUACUGUUUUAAGUCUGGGUUGAGAUAGGUGCAUGAAGCAGAAAGAAGAGACGGUCAAGGAUUCAACCUUGAACCCCUACUAGAAAACAGAAGCAGCCACAGAAAUGGCUGGAGUUCUCUCCUUCACAUGUGUAUGUGACUCAGCUGCCACAAAUCCUUAAGGAGGAAAUGAGUCUUACACAUUUCCUACAGGUCUCACACCACCUUUCAGAGUGAGAUAACCUAGUGGAUGCUUUUCGUUCGAUCGAUCACUCACUAAUAGCUGCUAGUUACUAUACCAUGGAUCAAGGAUAUGGUUUAAAGAAGAUAGACAAAAUCUUGCCAUUUCAUCCUUGUGUGAGGGUUGUGUAUGUGUAAAAGGUAGAAAUAGGAAACAAGAUUAUAACCAAAUAAAUAGCUAAUGUAAUAUCUGUAGCAGUAAGUGCUACAAAGAAACGUAACCAAGUAAUAGGCCAGGAAGGUACUCCCAGGUGCGGCUGGGGGUGGGCGGUGUUUUGCUAAGUAUGGCCAAGGAUUCCUGUGGGAGGAAGUGACAUCGGAGAUAAAAUGUGUGGGCUGAGGAGCUACCAUCUGAGUUGCCGAGGAAAGCAUCCCAGAGAAAACAAGUGCCAAGAACCUGAAACAAGAACAAACUCAGAGUGGCUGAGGGGUAGGAAGAAGGCCAGUGCUGCUGGAGCCUAAAGCACAACGACAGGAAGAGGUCAGGAGAGCAAGACCAUCUGCAACCAGACUGUGGCCUCAGACUGCCAAUUUUGGACCCCUGUGUGGACCCACAGUUCCUGUGUGAAGGCUCCAGGAAUUCCUUCAGCAGAGGAAGUUUGACCUAAGAGGAACUGUGGCUCUCCCUUCAAUCUCAAAAUGUGUGCAUGUAUUUUUAAAAGCAUGUUCUUUAUUCUCCCUUUAAGUAAAUAGGUAUUUAAAAAACACAGAUGCGUGACUGCUUGUGACUCACAGUAAACAAUCCAGUGGCAACGCCCCUCAGCUUUGGAGCAAAAGCAGAAAAGCCCUUUGUCUCUCUCUCUCACCCCAGCCUUUUAUUAAUAAAUGGGG
Manis pentadactyla (Chinese pangolin) is the source of this 1155-nucleotide long non-coding RNA. RefSeq lists it as uncharacterized. Lineage: Eukaryota; Metazoa; Chordata; Mammalia; Pholidota; Manidae. The record is from RefSeq and is a predicted model, not a curated record. The transcript is spliced from 2 exons.